RNAcentral lists this ribosomal RNA (2830 nucleotides) under Kordia periserrulae. Its description in RNAcentral is "bacterial LSU rRNA". It matches the Rfam family "Bacterial large subunit ribosomal RNA". Lineage: Bacteria; Pseudomonadati; Bacteroidota; Flavobacteriia; Flavobacteriales; Flavobacteriaceae. The record is from RNAcentral.
GUACAAUAAGCUAAGUAAGGGCGUAUGGGGGAUGCCUAGGCUCUCAGAGGCGAAGAAGGACGUGAUAAGCUGCGAAAAGCUGCGGGGAGAGGCACAUACUUUGUGAUCCGCAGAUAUCCGAAUGGGGCAACCCGGCAUGUUGAAGACAUGUCACAUCGUAAGAUGAGCAAACCCGGAGAACUGAAACAUCUAAGUACCCGGAGGAGAAGAAAACAAAAGUGAUUCCGCUAGUAGUGGCGAGCGAACGCGGAAUAGCCCAAACCAAUGUUGUUACGGCAAUAUUGGGGUUGUAGGACCACGCGAUUUGAUGUUUACAGAAUUAGAACUAUUUGGAAAGAUAGACCAUAGAGGGUGAUAGUCCCGUAUAGGUAAAGUAAAUAAUUGAUAGUGGUAUCCUGAGUAGUGCGGGGCACGUGUAACCCUGUAUGAAUCUGGCGGGACCAUCCGCCAAGGCUAAAUACUCCUGAGAGACCGAUAGUGAACUAGUACCGUGAGGGAAAGGUGAAAAGAACCCUGAAUAAGGGAGUGAAAUAGACCCUGAAACCAUACGCUUACAAGCGGUCGGAGCCAUAUUAAUGGUGACGGCGUGCCUUUUGCAUAAUGAGCCUACGAGUUACCGUUGCUAGCGAGGUUAAACACUUCAGGUGUGGAGCCGUAGCGAAAGCGAGUCUGAAUAGGGCGCUAUAGUUAGUAGUGGUAGACGCGAAACCGUGUGAUCUACCCAUGGGCAGGUUGAAGCUGUGGUAACACACAGUGGAGGACCGAACCGGUUGACGUUGAAAAGUCUUCGGAUGACCUGUGGGUAGGGGUGAAAGGCCAAUCAAACUCGGAAAUAGCUCGUACUCCCCGAAAUGCAUUUAGGUGCAGCGUUAAUCAAGUUUUAUAGAGGUAGAGCUACUGAUUGGAUGCGGGGGCUUCACCGCCUACCAAUUCCUGACAAACUCCGAAUGCUAUAAAAUGGUGAUUAGCAGUGAGGGCAUGGGUGCUAAGGUCCAUGUCCGAGAGGGAAAGAACCCGGACCAUCAGCUAAGGUCCCCAAAUAUAUACUAAGUUGAAUAAACGAGGUUUGACUGCACAGACAGCUAGGAUGUUGGCUUGGAAGCAGCCAUUCAUUUAAAGAGUGCGUAACAGCUCACUAGUCGAGCGGUCGAGCAUGGAUAAUAAUCGGGCAUAAGUAUAUUACCGAAGCUAUGGACUUACGUAAGUAAGUGGUAGGGGAGCAUUCUAUAUGCGCAGAAUGUGGUCUGCGAGGACUGCUGGAGCGUAUAGAAAAGAAAAUGUAGGCAUAAGUAACGAUAAUGCGGGCGAGAAACCCGCACACCGAAAGACUAAGGUUUCCUCAGCUAUGCUAAUCAGCUGAGGGUUAGUCGGGACCUAACGCGAACCCGAAAGGGGUAGUGGAUGGACAAGCAGUUAAUAUUCUGCUACCUGCUCACGUUAAAAGUGACGGAGGCGAGAAGUUAGUGCGCACUGACGGAAUAGUGCGUUGAAGGGAACAGUAAUGUCCUGAUAGUACAGUAAGGCUACGGCCGCGCUGAUAAUCUAGCAAAUCGACUUCCAAGAAAACCGAGUGAAGCAGCCCGUACCGUAAACCGACACAGGUAGUUGGGAUGAGAAUUCUAAGGUGCUCGAGAGAUUCAUGGCUAAGGAACUAGGCAAAAUAGACCUGUAACUUCGGGAGAAAGGUCGCCCAUCUUUACGAUGGGCCGCAGUGAAAAGGUCCAGGCGACUGUUUAUCAAAAACAUAGGGCUUUGCUAAAUCGAAAGAUGAUGUAUAAGGCCUGACACCUGCCCGGUGCUGGAAGGUUAAGAGGAGGGUUUAGCUUUGGCGAAGAUCUGAAUUGAAGCCCCAGUAAACGGCGGCCGUAACUAUAACGGUCCUAAGGUAGCGAAAUUCCUUGUCGGGUAAGUUCCGACCUGCACGAAUGGUGCAACGAUCUGGACACUGUCUCAGCCAUGAGCUCGGUGAAAUUGUAGUAUCGGUGAAGAUGCCGAUUACCCGCAGCGGGACGAAAAGACCCCGUGAACCUUUACUAUAGCUUCGUAUUGACUUUGGAUAAGUAAUGUGUAGGAUAGGUGGGAGACUAUGAAAUGCAAUCGCUAGGUUGUGUGGAGUCGUUGUUGAAAUACCACCCUUUGCUUAUUUGAAGCCUAACUUCUUACAGAAGGACAGUGCGUGGUGGGUAGUUUGACUGGGGUGGUCGCCUCCAAAAGAGUAACGGAGGCUUCUAAAGGUACCCUCAGCACGCUUGGUAACCGUGCGUAGAGUGCAAUGGCAUAAGGGUGCUUGACUGAGAGAGAUACAGCUCGAUCAGGUUGGAAACAAGAGCAUAGUGAUCCGGUGGUUCCGCAUGGAAGGGCCAUCGCUCAAAGGAUAAAAGGUACUCCGGGGAUAACAGGCUGAUCUCCCCCAAGAGCUCACAUCGACGGGGGGGUUUGGCACCUCGAUGUCGGCUCGUCACAUCCUGGGGCUGGAGAAGGUCCCAAGGGUUGGGCUGUUCGCCCAUUAAAGUGGCACGCGAGCUGGGUUCAGAACGUCGUGAGACAGUUCGGUCUCUAUCUGCUGUGGGCGUUAGAAAUUUGCGUGGAUCUGACUCUAGUACGAGAGGACCGAGUUGGACUAACCUCUGGUGUAUCUGUUGUUCCGCCAGGAGCAUUGCAGAGUAGCUACGUUGGGAAGGGAUAAGCGCUGAAAGCAUAUAAGCGCGAAACCCACCACAAGAUGAGAUUUCUUUAAAGGGUCGUGGGAGAUGACCACGUUGAUAGGCUACAGGUGUAAAGGCAGUAAUGUCAUAGCCGAGUAGUACUAAUUACCCGUAGGCUUAUGUAC